Molecule: long non-coding RNA, 353 nt
Filed under: Manihot esculenta (cassava)
Lineage: Eukaryota; Viridiplantae; Streptophyta; Magnoliopsida; Malpighiales; Euphorbiaceae
Description: long non-coding RNA (MESC_LNC009574)
Source: RNAcentral
UUAACGUAUGCUAUCAUGGAAUGCAUCACAACACAAACAUAUCACAUCAAGGAUGAAUUUGUCACCUAUAGCCCUCUACAUACUGUAGUACGUCCAACUAUACCAGGGGCGAUGAGGCCACACCUAGUAUUCGCUUACAUAACUCAUAUCAUAACAAGUCCAACUACACCAGGGGCGAUUAGGCCUCACCUAGUGUUCGCUUACAUAACAUAGUACCAGGGGUGACCUGGUCUUUCUGUCUCAUAUCAUACCAUGGCAUAUCAUAUCAUAUUAUCUCAUCUCAUACUGAGGGCUAAGGAUCAUCCAACAUCCAUCCACAUCAACAACAUAUUAUGCAAUGCAUCAUAUUCGUG